Non-coding RNA from Ataeniobius toweri, 95 nucleotides. The record is from the annotation of a GenBank genome assembly. NCBI's taxonomy places the organism in Eukaryota, Metazoa, Chordata, Actinopteri, Cyprinodontiformes, Goodeidae.
GGCGCCGGGUGGCUCAGUUGGUAGAGCAGGCGUGCGAUGUGCCGAGGCUAUAGUCCUCGAUGCAGUUGUCCUUGUUUUGAUUUCUGGUCUCGCCA